This 138-nucleotide ribosomal RNA is filed under the name Arthrobacter sp. ov407. RNAcentral describes it as "16S rRNA. Bacterial SSU". It matches the Rfam family "Bacterial small subunit ribosomal RNA", at positions 1 to 135 of the family's 1533-position model. Lineage: Bacteria; Bacillati; Actinomycetota; Actinomycetes; Micrococcales; Micrococcaceae. The record is from RNAcentral.
CUUCAACGGAGAGUUUGAUCCUGGCUCAGGAUGAACGCUGGCGGCGUGCUUAACACAUGCAAGUCGAACGAUGACCCGGUGCUUGCACCGGUGAUUAGUGGCGAACGGGUGAGUAACACGUGAGUAACCUGCCCUUAA